AAUUGUCACUCUGUGUUCUUGGUUCCUGUGUUCCGUGUCUCCUGUAACUCCGGUGUUCUUUAUUAAAGUUUUUGGUUUGGAAAAGUUCCUGGUCUCCUCGUUUCCCUGGCUCCAGAGGAUCGCGACCUAAACCAAGGUCAGAGCAGAAAGAAAUAUCUUAAUGCGUGUUCCGAAGAUGAACAAUGGUUUGGAUCGACAUGAGGGUCUGCUGGCUGCGAGUGAUACACAUGUUUGCUCUUCUCUGCAAUGGUGAGGGUCCCGACAUGGCUGGUGUCGCUGUGACUGACCCGGACCGGGUGAUACUGACUCUUUGACUCGGUGGAGCUGGACGGCACGUUCAUCU
Onychostoma macrolepis is the source of this 343-nucleotide long non-coding RNA. RefSeq lists it as uncharacterized. The transcript has 3 exons. NCBI's taxonomy places the organism in Eukaryota, Metazoa, Chordata, Actinopteri, Cypriniformes, Cyprinidae. The record is from RefSeq and is a predicted model, not a curated record.